Molecule: transfer RNA, 58 nt
Filed under: Ictidomys tridecemlineatus (thirteen-lined ground squirrel)
Lineage: Eukaryota; Metazoa; Chordata; Mammalia; Rodentia; Sciuridae
Description: Spermophilus tridecemlineatus (thirteen-lined ground squirrel) tRNA
Rfam family: tRNA
About the family: Transfer RNA (tRNA) molecules are approximately 80 nucleotides in length. Their secondary structure includes four short double-helical elements and three loops (D, anti-codon, and T loops). Further hydrogen bonds mediate the characteristic L-shaped molecular structure. tRNAs have two regions of fundamental functional importance: the anti-codon, which is responsible for specific mRNA codon recognition, and the 3' end, to which the tRNAs corresponding amino acid is attached (by aminoacyl-tRNA synthetases). tRNAs cope with the degeneracy of the genetic code in two manners: having more than one tRNA (with a specific anti-codon) for a particular amino acid; and 'wobble' base-pairing, i.e. permitting non-standard base-pairing at the 3rd anti-codon position.
Source: Rfam by way of RNAcentral
GGGGAUGUAGCUCAGUGGUAGAGCACUUGCAGGUGCAAGAUCCUGGGUUCCAUCCCCA